UGGUGGAGUGAUUUGUCUGGUUAAUUCCGUUAACGAACGAGACCUUAACCAGCUAAAUAGUUUCCAAAACUUCGGUUUUCGGCUUACUUCUUAGAGGGACUUCGUGUGUUUAGCAUGAGGAAGUUUGAGGCAAUAACA
This 138-nucleotide ribosomal RNA is filed under the name uncultured eukaryote. RNAcentral's name for it is "partial 18S ribosomal RNA". It matches the Rfam family "Eukaryotic small subunit ribosomal RNA", at positions 1299 to 1458 of the family's 1831-position model. The record is from RNAcentral.